Chelonia mydas (Green sea turtle) is the source of this 2223-nucleotide long non-coding RNA. RefSeq lists it as uncharacterized. The record is from RefSeq and is a predicted model, not a curated record. The transcript is spliced from 3 exons. Lineage: Eukaryota; Metazoa; Chordata; Testudines; Cheloniidae.
ACCAAGCAAUAAAAUCUGGAUAAAAUCUGCAUAUAAUGAAAAGCAAUUCAAGCCAGGGCCUGCCACAGCACUCCUACUUCUAGCACCUAUGGGCAGAUACCUCCUGGGCCUGAACCUACUGUAAGUAUUUUGGCGAGUGCUUAAACAGCAAUGGUGCUAGGGCAUAGAAUAUGGGCACAUAUGCUUAUAUUUGUACUGAUGCAACCCCCACCACUAGUCUUUGGGAUGAAUAAAGGUGCGUAUGCGUGGAAAGUGAGUCAGGGUAACCUUAAACUUAUUCGGGAAAUUAUUUCCAACACUGGACUCAAAGAAAUGCAACAGUAAGUGCUAAAUGCUCUGGCAGUCUCCGUCUUCAUUAUGCAAACUUUCAAAAUGAAACUUUUCACAACUGUGCACACCCACCUAUAGGUGGUGAGAGACUUUUCAGGGAGUCAAUCCCAGCUCCUGUUGGGCCAGAGAAAUAGAAGUGGACCUAGCAAUUAAGGCCCCAAUCCUCAAAGUUAUUGAGGCUCCUAACUUCCAUUGAGGACAACAUUUUUCUUUUGAACUUUUUUAUUCCAGCUUUGAAAUGAAAAAAACAAUCCCUUUAACUACUGAACCAGUGACCGAUUACAACUAAGCCUGCUUUCUGCUUCAUUUCCACAAAGAGGGGGUCAUUAAUGCCUUUGAUUACACCAGGAGAGCUUCCUUCUCACAAAUCCAUUUAACAACAGCACUGCAGGUUUCAGAAUGAAUCUGCUUCCCUUUUAUCACUCCACAGCUGUUCCUUUCACCAGGGCCGACUACUGGGAACCUGCAGAACAUAGGAGAAACUCAUCAUUUGUGCAUUUGAAUGUAUUAAACAAAUCUACGACAGCUCUUUCACUUCAAGGACACACAUUGUGAUACCUGUCUCUUUCUUCCUUCCCCUCUCUUUUUCCUACAGUGAUAGGUGAUGAGCUGGUGUAUCUCAACAGAAAACACUUGUCUACAUUACCAAAACAACAAGGAGUCCGGUGGCACCUUAAAGACUAACAGAUUUAUUUGGGCAUAAGCUUUCAUGGGUAAAAAACCCACUUCUUCAGAUGCAACAGGUACUAUUAUCAAACCAGUUACUCCAGUUGACCCGGUUGUGGGUGUAAGUCCUGUGUUAAAGCUACAGCAAUCCGCUCUCUUAAUACAAACACAAGGAGGACGCAGAUUUCUUUCUAAAGACCUUGUAUUUCUGCAACCAGAAAGGACCUUCAGCCCAGAGUCAUGCCUAAAUUGAUGGUGGCUAAGCCAAGUUUCUAACGUCAUCUGUCCUCUCUUAUCCUAGCUGUUAGUUCAAAAAACAACAACAACAACAACAAAAACCCCACUCAUCAGCUGAGGAUAAUUUACUCCAGGGGGAAUUCUGCACCACCGCAUACACACAGAAUUCACAUCUCCCGCAGACUUUUUUGCCCCCUACAGAGUAUUAUAUUCUGACAGGGAGGUGCUGCAAUCACACCUUUCACCCACCAGGGGCUGCUGUGGCACCAGAAGAGAGGGCAUCAGCUCAGGGCUGGAGUACCCAGCUGUGGAGAGGGAGGGGCAGAGGCUGCCUUCCUCAUGGUGCCUUGCAUGUGGGGCCAGGUAAGGAGGCACAGGGUAUGGAGGGGGGUGGUGGACAGCCUGGGGCUGCUGGGAAGUCACACAGACUGGGGUUCAGAAGGGGUAGUGGGGGGAACAGACUGGGGCAGGGGCACAGGAGCUAGUGGGGUGACAACAUUGAUCUGGGGCUGAAUGGGAGUAGGGGUGCAGGGCCACAGGGGUGAGGGGGUGUGGCUGAAUGGGCUGGCAGGGACACACUCAGACAGGGGCAGAUGUGCCUGACUGAAUGGGAGAGGCUAGGGGUCACCCAGGGUCUGCACAGGGGAGGCUCCCCAACUCUCUAACAAUCCCUCCCCCUCCCAAAAAAUUGUUUCAUACUUCUCCCACCCACACCCCACAACCCUCCAGGUUCACUACAGACUACUUCCCUCUUCCCCAGUGCCUCCAUUAUCCCUGAGUCUCCCAAGCCUUUGCACUACUUCCGAGGGGUGCGGGAAAUACAUUUAUGUAUUGUAGUUUAAAUUAAUUAUUACUCAAAACUCUGUAUAAAUAUGCUUAGUAAGGAAUUAAUUUGUCAAAAAACAUUUCCUGAAUCUUUUUUGUUGUCUGUAUUGUUACAGACAUACUUGCUGACAGGUAUUUUGAAAUAAAUGACCAAAACAAUUGAAA